AUACCUCAUACUUCGGAUUCUCCAUGCUGCUGCUGCUGGUGAUGCUGUUUUAUUGGAGUUCUCCAGUACAUCAUUGCAUGUCUAAGAGAUUGACCCUUUUAUGUCUGCAGAAGAAGAGGAUCCUCUUCCACAGAGUCUGCCAUGUUUCUAGCUCAGAACAGACACACCA
Long non-coding RNA from Dicentrarchus labrax (European seabass), 169 nucleotides. RefSeq lists it as uncharacterized. The transcript is spliced from 2 exons. The record is from RefSeq and is a predicted model, not a curated record. NCBI's taxonomy places the organism in Eukaryota, Metazoa, Chordata, Actinopteri, Moronidae.